Molecule: non-coding RNA, 72 nt
Organism: Cervus elaphus (red deer)
Lineage: Eukaryota; Metazoa; Chordata; Mammalia; Artiodactyla; Cervidae
Source: the annotation of a RefSeq genome assembly
UCCCUGGUAGCUUAGGUGGUAAAGCGUCUGCCUGAAAUGCAGGAGACUCGGGUUCGAUUCCUGGGUUGGGAA